UCCCGGUUAGCUCAGUUGGCAGGCACUCCAAUGGAACGGGAGAGGUUCCUGGUUCGAUGCCAGGACCGGGCG
Molecule: transfer RNA, 72 nt
Filed under: Ixodes scapularis (black-legged tick)
Lineage: Eukaryota; Metazoa; Arthropoda; Arachnida; Ixodida; Ixodidae
Description: tRNA-Ser for anticodon GGA
Source: RNAcentral